AUAUAUACUGUGCAGUAUAUGUAUGUUAUAAUAUAUAAAGAACAAACGAAUCCUUUUGAUAUCGAGUAGUCCUUUUUUUCGCUAGUGAUAUAGCUAAAUAGGAGGAUACGGUAUGCGAGGAAGUAAAAGGGAAAAUUUUCCUUCUCGAGAAAGGUAGAGUUUGAAAGAGACGAGAAGAAGAAUGGAAAAAAGAUACCAAAAGCAGUCAGUAAUAUAUAACCAAGUAAGGAAUCUGCAAAAAGGUACGGAAAAUUUAGAGGGAACGAUAGAGUAGGGAAGAGGAGAAAUCGUUCAAUAGGGGAAAAAGAAGAAAAAUGAAAAAAAAAGUGGUGAUAGGAUAGAACGCUGGAAUGCUAGAGGAAUUCGGUAAAAUACAAAUAAAUAAGUCACGCAGCGAAAAAGAGAAAAAAAAAGUACAACCGGUUCCGAAUGCAAAGCGAAGCAAAGCAAAGUAAAGGAAAGAAAGGAUGAACCGUUGGGAGACGAGUGAAAAGUAAAAGUGAAUGGGAGAGAGUAGGAGCGUGUCCAGACUAGGCAAGCACUUUAAAUAGCGAGACCUUAAAAACGUAUACACACAACAAGGGGGGUACGGUGUGUAAUAAACACAAAUGAAGUAUGGGCUAUGCAAUCAGCUAGGCAACACAAGACAAGCAAGGCGAGGGAAAGUGGCGAAAUCCCAAGAGAGCAAUAAGGAUGCGUAGCGAGGAAAAAAAGCGAGACAGCGAUGCGCACCGGUACCGAAAACCAAAGUCCGAAAAAUGGAUGUAAGAUUUACGAGGUUAAGAAUCGAAAGAGGACAAGGGAGAGAGACAGAGAGAGCACAAGGCAGUAGAGAGAGUAUGUGCGUGAGAGAGAGAAAAUCAGGUAAGGAUUGAUGUGGGAGGAUGGUGAGCGAAAAAAAAAAGCAAACCACCGAGAAAUGGGUCUAGAAAAGAAACCGUUGCAAAGGAAAGAAAAGGAAAUCGAAUGAAAUCGAUUGAAUGAAUAGGAAACUUGGCUGGACUUUUUAAAUAGUUAGCCGAGUGUUGCUAAAAGCGGUGAAUGAUGUGAAAGUGAGAAAGCGAAUAAAAGAAUAAAAAAGAAAAGGAUGAAGAAAAGUGCAAGACUUUUCUUGGGGGGUUUGUUGAUAAGGCAGUGUGUGAUGGAAUGGAAAGAGAGGGAGAAAAGUGCUUUGUUUGAAAGAUAAGUAAACGAAGCAACAAACAAAACAAACUAAACUAACCGAACCGAGCAAAAGAAAAAAAAAAUUACACAACAACCACAAAAAGUAAAGACACUAGGAGAGAGUAGCAAAAGCUUACAAAAACAAGUGGUUGAAAAAAGGAAGAAGACAAGAGUAAAUUAGAAUAUACUGGAUAGGCAAAAAAAAAAGAAAAACUCCCUAAAAAAAACACACAAGGGGUAUUAAACGAAGUUUGUAUGUAUGUAGUGAAACAAAAAAAAAAAAGGAAGAAAACCGAGAAAAGCGGCGUUAACGGUGUUACGGAAUUAACGGGGCGUUUGACGGUAAUGAAAGUAAGUAGUAAUAGUAGUACCAGUAAUAG
Schizosaccharomyces pombe (fission yeast) is the source of this 1544-nucleotide non-coding RNA. Lineage: Eukaryota; Fungi; Ascomycota; Schizosaccharomycetes; Schizosaccharomycetales; Schizosaccharomycetaceae. The record is from the annotation of a GenBank genome assembly.